GACGAACGCUGGCGGCGUGCUUAACACAUGCAAGUCGAACGGAAAGGCCCCGCUUUUGUGGGGUGCGCGAGUGGCGAACGGGUGAGUAACACGUGAGUAACCUGCCGUUGGCUUUGGGAUAACUUCAGGAAACUGGGGCUAAUACCGGAUAGUAGCUCCUCCAGAAUGGUGGGGGGUGGAAAGUUUCGGCGGUUGGGGCUGGACUCGCGGCUGAUCAGCGUGUUGGGGGGGGAGUGGCGUACCAAGGCUUUGACGGAUAGGCGGCAUGGGAGGGUGGCCGCGGUCCUUGGGCCUGAGAUAGGGACCAGUCUCGUACGGGGGGCAGCAGUGGGGAGUAUUGCGCAGUGGGCGGGAGCCUGAUGCAGCAACGCCGCGGGCGGGAUGACGGCCUUCGGGUUGUAAACCGCUUACGCCUGUGACGAAGCGUGAGUGACGGUAAUGGGUAAAGAAGCACCGGCUAACUACGUG
This 468-nucleotide ribosomal RNA is filed under the name uncultured bacterium. RNAcentral describes it as "partial 16S ribosomal RNA". It matches the Rfam family "Bacterial small subunit ribosomal RNA", at positions 28 to 507 of the family's 1533-position model. The record is from RNAcentral.